CUCGUAGGCGGUUCAGCAAGUCGGCUGUGGAAUUCCGAGGCUCAACCUCGGAACUGCAGUCGAUACUGCUGUGACUCGAGUCCGGUAGAGGAGAAUGGAAUUCCCGGUGUAGCGGUGAAAUGCGCAGAUAUCGGGAGGAACACCAGUAGCGAAGGCGGUUCUCUGGGCCGGUACUGACGCUGAGGAGCGAAAGCGUGGGGAGCAAACA
This 208-nucleotide ribosomal RNA is filed under the name uncultured bacterium. RNAcentral describes it as "partial 16S ribosomal RNA". It matches the Rfam family "Bacterial small subunit ribosomal RNA", at positions 568 to 774 of the family's 1533-position model. The record is from RNAcentral.